Haliotis rubra (blacklip abalone) is the source of this 1452-nucleotide long non-coding RNA. RefSeq lists it as uncharacterized. The transcript is spliced from 2 exons. NCBI's taxonomy places the organism in Eukaryota, Metazoa, Mollusca, Gastropoda, Lepetellida, Haliotidae. The record is from RefSeq and is a predicted model, not a curated record.
UCCCUGCCACAUCCUGGAUAUGAUGGUUGCUAUAGUUACAAGAAAGCUGCUUCAGUCACAUUCCAACUCUGGUGGUUGCCAGGGUUACUAGAAGGGAUGCACUGCUCCUAGAGAAACAUACCGUUUCAUGACGAUUUGAGUAGUAGCCUAGCGAAGUGUUUUCAAACUCUUUCAACAAAGCUAAUGCCAUACUUUGCUUAUCCUAAGUCUAUGUUCUCGCAGGGGCGCAGGUAGCCAAGUGGUUAAAACGUUCGCCCGUCACACCGAAGAUCCGGGUUCGAUUCCCCACAUGGGUACAAUGUGUGAAGCCCAUUUCUGGUGUUCCCUGUCGUGAUAUUGCUGGAAUAUUGCUAAAAGCGGCGUAAAACUAAACUCACUCACUCACUCACUAUGUUCUUGCACAGGUGUAACAUCUGUCACCAUUGCAAGUAUUUCUUAUCAUGGGUCUGUGUCAGACAGCUGUAUUCCAGUAUCACAAGUAGCCUGACGUCCGAGGGGUUGUACUGUGGUGGGCAUGUAGCUGUAGACGACGAUGUAGGAUCCUUAGCGUGGUUUCACCCUGAAAUUGGAGUAGAUGCAUACGAGUAGGUCAUGUGUACAUAUACAUCUCAUGUUGUGAUUUACACAAAUUCAUCAUAAAUUUGGUUUAUUUUGUUACAAUGUUCUGAUUGCUCACUUGAAGUCCUACAUAUUACAGUUGUAGUCAUGUUUGUGGUGAUGUGUCAUGGGCUUUAAAUAUGAACUUAAUGCUGAAAACUAAAUGACUGUCAGAAAAUCUUUAUGAGCUAGCAGUAAAAAAUUCCUAAUAACCUACAAUGUAUUUCAAUACUGUUUGUACUGAUGUUUAUUUAAUAAAUACUUACCAUGAAACGUUUUUUAAAGACGGCAGUUUGAAACAUUAAACAUUCCAAAACGGACGUUCAUAAUGUUUUCUAACAAGUACUGUAGACUUAAGCAUUAUGCAUUGUUACAAAACUUAAGUUUAUAUGUAAUGCCCUUGACAGAUAGUUGGUUAAACUAUUUUAUUGGUACUUAUACUUAUUAAAAAAUGUGUCGUAUACUCAAGAUCAACAAAUAAAGCGACAUACAAGUCACUUCAGCAAAUCAAACAUAGCAAAUGCUUGUUGUUGACAUGAUUGGUAAUCAACACCCAGAACCUGCACACCUCGGGGAAAACCCUACUUAUUAGAUGGAUUCUAACUAUAUAUCUUCUAUACUGUUGUGCUCAUUCAUAUAUAGGUAUUGGUGCUAGUAGGAAUUUCAAAAUGUGUAAACAUGACUUCUAAUUCAAAUAUUUACACCACAAACAGAUCUGUGAUUUUGGAUUCAGUUCUAUCUCUUAACUUACAAUAUGUGUUGUAACUCAUGGUCUGAAUUGCUGGUUAACAAACUUUCAAAAUCAUCUAUAGCGUUCAAGAUGUGCAGUGUUAUCAAAGCUUAGACUAAUUUUUU